RNAcentral lists this ribosomal RNA (357 nucleotides) under uncultured bacterium. RNAcentral describes it as "partial 16S ribosomal RNA". It matches the Rfam family "Bacterial small subunit ribosomal RNA", at positions 338 to 687 of the family's 1533-position model. The record is from RNAcentral.
CCUACGGGUGGCAGCAGUGGGGAAUAUUGCGCAAUGGGCGAAAGCCUGACGCAGCGACGCCGCGUGAGGGAUGAAGGUCUUCGGAUCGUAAACCUCUGUCAGCAGGGAAGAACGGUCACUGUGCUAAUCAGCAGUGAAUUGACGGUACCUGAAAAGGAAGCACAGGCUAACUCCGUGCCAGCAGCCGCGGUAAACCGGAGGGUGCGAGCGGUAAUCGGUAUUGCUUGGCGGAAAGGGCUCGUGCGCGGUAUGUCAAGUCAAGGGUGAAAUCCCCGGGCUCCACGGGGGAGCUGCCUUUGAAACUGGCAAACUGGAGUGGGUGAGAGGAAAGGGGAAUUCCAGGUGUAGGAGUGAAAU